GUUUAUGUUUCAGCCUGAGAGAAGAACAAAUUUCAGAGGACUGGGAGCACCUUUUGGAAUGGCUGCAGAAGAACACCGAGGGCCAUGAAGACCAGAUAAACCAUGAUAAUACUAGUAUUAAAUAGAUCCUACCCCAGAAGCCGUCACCCAAACCUAGUGACCGUAGUACUACACGACUCUUGAGGUACAUACCGUCAAAAUGACUGGGGUUGGGACCGAAAAGAUUGGCCCAGAGUGAUAACUGGAACAAUUGGUGAAGAAAUUAAGGUAGGAUGCAGAAAAAUGGAAAAGUCUCCUUAUGAGAAAGCUUCCACCGUUGCAAUCGUUGGAAAUUUUCUAGAAUCAGAUGUGACAAGCAAUUUGCACCCCAACAUCAUGGCAAAACUCUGCGCCACAGCAGUGUGGUCAUGGAACAAACAAUCCCCCCUCAUACUGUGUUGUCAUCAGAAAAAUAUUAGUUACUAUACCCUGGACCCCUGUACCAACAAGGUGGAAAUUACAAAGCUUUGUAAAAACCAAUCUACUGACUGUUGGUAUCAUUUCACUUGAACCAAAUCAACCUCUGUAACAUGUAAUUGGCAAAAUGACCUGACAUAUCAGUCAGGUCUGAAAGGUUUAAUUCAUAGACUCAAAAUGAAUGCAGUGGCACUGAGUGCAGUAAUCACAUACCAUGGUGUAAGCACCCCCCAGUGCUGGAUGACAAACAUAAUGUUUUCCCUCCCUUUAUGGGAAUGCAAGGUGAUGAUGUGACAAUAACCUGAAAAUUAAUUGCUGAAUCCUCAUUGAACCUGUAUACAGUUAUGGCACAGGACCUCAUGGCCAUGUUCUGUUUUGUGAAAUUCAAAAUCAGAAUUGUUGGCUAAAGCUAACUGACGUACAAUUUUCCCAUCAAAUCGUGUGUGGGAAAAACAAAACCAAAUACUGAGGAGAACUUGAUGUCAAUAUUGUGACACCUACACCUACCACCACCCAAUCUCCGGUUAUACUGAGCCCGAGAAAUUUUGAAAUCGGGCCAUGUAUAAUCAGAAAAACUGGCCAACAACAAAUAUUGUUUAAUCCAGCGUGGUCUCUUAACCAAGUCAAAUUGCUAAUGCAAAACAAUGUCUCAGAAGUUCAGCCAGCUUGUUCACCUUUUUUGCAAACUUCUUUUGAGAGGUGGACACCUGGUUGUGAAAGCGUAAUCCUUCUAAGAAACGAAUGACAAGAUCAUAACCUGUGCUGUGGGAACAGGACUGGGAAAUUUGAAUAGUAUUGAUUCAGAAGUGCAGAUGAACAAACUGGCUACCACAAGUGGGGAUGUAACCAAAUUACAGCAACCACUGCAGUCAUCCUUAUCGGCUUUGGGAACCCAACAGUGGUUACUAUCAAACAUAUUACCAAAUUGGGAAAAGGUAAAUGAAAAUGAUCACAAAUUGAUAAUUGAUGCACUCGGUGCCACACAAAAUAACAUCUCUGUCGCUUCUUAGCUGCAUUCAGGCUCAGUUGUGGAUGCAGUCAGUUACUGCCUCAAUUGUAAGAGAAGGCAAAGAAGGCACUUUUCCUGCUGAAAGUCAACAAAUAAUUUGGGACAAUGCCACUGAUUUGGAAAAAGAAUUCCAAUCCUGGUGGAACCUAGUAAAUUUUACCUGUGACCCCAGCACAAACACAGCCACAGCCUUUGUACUGACUAUACGGAAUGCUUCAGCGCUUUCAAUAUUCCCUGUCAUUGCAUUAGGGCUGAAUCAUGAUGGAGCUGCUCUCUAUCCUUUGGAGCACAAGGAAUGGGCUCAUCAAAUUGGUGAGAAGUGGCAAACUGUUGGUUUGGAAACUUCAUUAAUAAUUAAUUCACCGUUAAUUUGGAAACUGUAUUUUCCGGGAACAACAAGCGUUUAUCUGUGAAAGUAAUGCAACCAGAGCUCAAGAUAUUUGUUUGGACAUGGAACAAAAUAUCUGCAACUCUGAAAUCCAUCGUACCGAGACUUCUGAAACUACUUGUGCAUAUAGGAUGUGGAUGUGCGUGUUUGAGAACUGCUUGUGAUAGUGUACUUCUAGAAAUCUUAGUAGUGAAUACAAAAAAAUCAUUCAAAUUUUUGUGUUUGUAAUUUUACUAAGAUUGCAGGAGGUGAUUUUUCUUAUAUAGUCCCAGUUAUUUCUUACCACCUUUUACAGUCCAUUUACACACUGAUCCACCAUUUAUUGCCUACCUCUAUUGGGAUGAACCUCACUCAGGUAAAGCAACUGUUGCUUCAGCAGGAUUUAAUUGAAAUUUUGGAAAAGUAAAAAUAGGAAAUUGUCCCUCGUGAUAAAGAAAUUGCCUGAAAUUGUUUAUUUGGGUUUUAUUUGAUUAAUUGAAAUUACUUAUUCUUUGUAAUAAGAAGUUGAAUGUUUAUUUUAAUUGAAA
Non-coding RNA from Cyanistes caeruleus (blue tit), 2380 nucleotides. The record is from RefSeq and is a predicted model, not a curated record. NCBI's taxonomy places the organism in Eukaryota, Metazoa, Chordata, Aves, Passeriformes, Paridae.